UUGCAGUUAAAAAGCUCGUAGUUGGAUUUCGGAGUGAGCUAGUUGGUCCGCCGCAAGGUGUGUUACUGACUAGUUUGCUCUUCUUCGCAAAGACUGCGUGUGCUCUUGAGUGAGUGUGCGUAGGAUUUACGACGUUUACUUUGAAAAAAUUAGAGUGUUCAAAGCAGGCUAUUGCUUGAAUACAUGAGCAUGGAAUAAUGGAAUAGGACUUUGGUCCCUUUUGUUGGUUUCUAGGACCGAAGUAAUGAUUAAGAGGGACAAUUGGGGGCAUCCGUAUUUCGUUGUCAGAGGUGAAAUUCUUAGAUUUACGAAAGACGAACAACUGCGAAAGCACUUGCCAAGAGUGUUUUCAUUAAUCAAGAACGAAAGUUAGAGGAUCGAAGACGAUCAGAUACCGUCCUAGUUCUAACCAUAAAC
Molecule: ribosomal RNA, 417 nt
Filed under: uncultured marine eukaryote
Lineage: Eukaryota
Description: SSU rRNA
Rfam family: Eukaryotic small subunit ribosomal RNA
Source: RNAcentral